UCGCGUGCCACCUCUCGACAGAACAGCGAGUAGAAUGGAAAAGUAUAGACAGUAGCAUUUCCCAGCCCAUGCGUUACAAACCAAGGCUGGUGUCAGCACAACGUCCAUCCUUCUUCGAUGAUAUUUUCUUAUAGCGGUCACACCAUUGACUGUAGACUAUAUAAAGGGUCACGCAGGAGUUUUACUUGUCAACCAUGAACCAAACCGCAGGAGUAACACAGACAUACCGGAGGUGUUCUAAAGCAGGAAAGUGCCGUUUCCUGUACUAGCUAUUGGCUGUGUCAACCUCCGAAACGCAGACCUCCCAGAGAAAUGUGCUGGGCUUGCACCUGUGUCAGUCUCCCAGAUGGACCUGCUGAGAUUGUGCUGCAGGUUUUCUCCAAAUCUCUCAAAGAUCCAACCCUCGGGCGUAAUACCUGAAUAUCCAUAAUUGCUGUGGAUAUUAGCAGAAAAUUCUGUGUUUCCAUACAUUAUUGAUGAGCC
This is a long non-coding RNA of Oncorhynchus kisutch (coho salmon), 483 nucleotides long. RefSeq lists it as uncharacterized. NCBI's taxonomy places the organism in Eukaryota, Metazoa, Chordata, Actinopteri, Salmoniformes, Salmonidae. The record is from RefSeq and is a predicted model, not a curated record. The transcript is spliced from 3 exons.